CAGCGUGCAGUGAGCAGUGCGCCGGAGACCAUGGCGGCGGUCCUCUCCAGGGACUCUCCCGACAUCGAGAACCUACUGGCUCUCAACCCAAAGAUUUCUCCACACGCCACCGUGGUGCCAACGGUAGUGACGAAGAAAAACAAACUGAAGUGGAAGAGAAAUGCCAAUAAAUCAUGUGAGGGUUGCAGGCCGCUGGAGAAGAACUUCGACGACAUCAAGCACACGACGCUGAGCGAGCGUGGUGCACUGAGGGAGGCGGCGCGCUGCCUCAAGUGCGCAGACGCCCCCUGCCAGCUCUCCUGCCCCACGCGCAUCGACGUCAAGAGCUUCAUCACCAGCAUCGCCAACCAGAACUACUACGGCGCAGCGAAGACCAUCUUGUCCGAGAACCCGCUGGGGCUGACGUGCGGCAUGGUGUGCCCCACCAGCGACCUCUGCGUGGGCGGAUGUAACCUGCAGGCGUCCGAGGAGGGUCCCAUCAACAUCUCCGGCCUGCAGCAUUUCGCCGUCCAGGUAUUUCAAAAGAUGAAACUGGCUCAGACGAAGGCCCCUGGGCAGAGCGUGAAAUUCGCCGACGCAAAGAUAGCACUCGUCGGCGCCGGGCCUGCAUCUCUGUCGUGCGCCACCUACCUGGCCAGGAUGGGCUACAACAACAUCACCAUCUUCGAGAAGCAGAGCUACACCGGAGGCCUCAGUUCCUCCGAAAUACCACAGUACCGCCUGCCGUACGACGCCGUUAUGUUUGAAGUGGAGUUGGUCAAGGAUCUCGGAGUAAAAUUUGAGUACAACCGGGUGCUGUCUACCAAUGAUCUCACAUUACAGAAACUGAAAUCUGAUGGAUACGAAGUGAUUUUCCUGGGCAUCGGUCUUCCACACCCUAAAUUGAGCCCCAUAUUUGAGGGUCUCACGGCGGAUAUGGGUUUCUUCACUUCAAAGGACUUCCUCCCUGCAGUUUCCAAGGGAAGUAAACCAGGAAUGUGCUGCCAGGGAGCGCGCCUGCCGGAGCUGCGGGGCGUGGUGACGGUGCUGGGCGCCGGAGACACAGCCUUCGACUGCGCCACCUCCGCCCUGCGCUGCGGCGCCCGCAAGGUCUUCGUCGUCUUUCGAAAGGGCUUCCGCAACAUCCGAGCCGUGCCCGAAGAGGUGGACCUGGCCAGAGAAGAGAAGUGUGAGUUCAUCCCUUUUCAUUCGCCGAGAAGGGUGAUAGUCAAAGGUGGCAACAUCGUCGGUAUAGAAUUCUGCAGAACUGAGCAGGGGGAAGACGGCACGUGGAUAGAGGAUGAAGACCAAAUCAUAAAACUCAAGACCAAUUUUAUAAUUUCGGCCUUUGGCUCAGGUCUCUAUGACGAAGACGUGAAGAAGGCAAUGUCUCCUCUGAAGUGGACAAAGUACGGGCUGCCAGAGGUGGAUUACAGCACCACGGCCACCAGCGAGCCCGGAGUAUUCUGCGGUGGAGACCUGUCGGGUGCCACCGAAACCACUGUGGAAGCUGUCAACGAUGGCAAGACUGCUGCCUGGAGUAUUCACAAGUAUAUACAGGAGCGGCGCGGGGCGGCGGUGCCAGGCGCGGCGGUGUUGCCGCGCUUCCACAGCGCCAUCGACGACGUGGACGUGGGCGUGACAGUGUGCGGCCUGCGCUUCCAGAACCCGUUCGGGCUGGCGUCCGCGCCGCCCGCCACCACCAGCGCCAUGAUCCGCAGGGCCUUCCAGCAGGGCUGGGCCUUCGCCGUCACCAAAACCUUCUCCCUCGACAAGGACUGCGUGACCAACGUGUCUCCCCGCAUCGUGAAGGGCACCACGUCGGGUCAUCACUACGGACCACAGCAGUCGUCGUUCCUCAACAUCGAGCUCAUCUCGGAAAAGUCGGCAGCCUACUGGUGCCGCAGCAUCACCGAACUCAAACAAGAGUUCCCAGAAAAGGUGGUGAUCGCCAGCAUCAUGUGUAGCUUCAACGAGAGCGACUGGACGGAGCUAAGCCAGAUGGCGGAAGCUUGCGGCGCAGACGCCCUCGAGCUCAACUUGUCGUGUCCACACGGCAUGGGAGAGUCGGGCAUGGGGCUCGCCUGUGGCCAGGAUCCGAAUCUGGUGCGCAGCAUUGCUACGUGGGUGAGAGCCGCUGUGAAAAUUCCGUUCUUCGUCAAACUGACGCCCAACAUCACCGACAUCGUCAGCAUCGCCAGAGCGGCUUACGAAGGCAAGGCGGACGGGGUGUCGGCGAUCAAUACGGUGUCGGGGCUGAUGCGGCUGCACGCGGACGGGUCGCCGUGGCCGGCGGUGGGCUCGCAGCGGCGCACCACGUACGGCGGCGUGUCGGGCGCGGCUACGCGGCCCAUGGCUCUGCGGGCCAUCUCGGCCGUGGCGCGAGAGCUGCCGGGCUUCCCCAUCCUCGGCAUCGGCGGCGUCGACUCUGCCGACACCGCCUUCCAGUUCCUCAGCGCCGGCGCCUCCGUCGUCCAGGUGGGAAGUGCUAUACAGAACCAGGACUUCACCUUGAUUGAAGACUACGUGACGGGCCUCAAGACGCUGCUCUACCUACGCUCCAUAGAAGAGCUCAGCUCGUGGGACGGCCAGUCUCCUCCGACGGAAAAACAUCAGAAAGGAAAGCCGGUCGUUUCUCUCCAGAACAUCCUCGGAAAGAAUUUGCCUCAAUUCGGCGAGCAUCUACAGAGACGAGAGGAGAUCAUAGCGGAGAUGAAGAGGAAGCAGGAGCCCCUGGGUGCAAGCAAACCCUCCGAGCCGCUGAGGCCUGCGCAUCAACCGCGUAAGCCGGUGCCCAGCGUCCAGGAUAUCGUGGGGCAGGCGCUGCCACACAUCGGCGCCUACAAGGCUCUCGACAACACCAAGCAAGUCGUCGCCGUCGUGGACGAGGACCUGUGCAUCAACUGUGGGAAGUGCUAUAUGGCGUGCAACGACUCUGGCUACCAGGCCAUCCAGUUCGACCCUGAGACGCACAUGGCGCGGGUCACGGACGACUGCACGGGCUGCGCCCUCUGCCUCUCCGUCUGCCCCAUCAUCGACUGCAUCACCAUGGUUCCGAGGACAACACCGCACAUAAUCAAGCGUGGUGUGCCUUUCGCAAACGGGACACUCGAGCCAGUGUACUGACAAAUUGGUGCAUCGCAGUCCUUACAGCAGGUUUCGUGAUUCACAAGCGAGAAAGUUCAGCACUUGACCACCUAUUACAGGUACAAGGGUUGGUUGCCUACUUAUUCUGAUAUUGCAUAU
Molecule: unclassified non-coding RNA, 3225 nt
Filed under: Schistocerca americana (American grasshopper)
Lineage: Eukaryota; Metazoa; Arthropoda; Insecta; Orthoptera; Acrididae
Description: dihydropyrimidine dehydrogenase [NADP(+)], transcript variant X2
Source: RNAcentral